This 103-nucleotide transfer RNA is filed under the name Kwoniella mangroviensis CBS 8886. Its description in RNAcentral is "tRNA-Trp". It matches the Rfam family "tRNA". From Rfam's summary of the family: Transfer RNA (tRNA) molecules are approximately 80 nucleotides in length. Their secondary structure includes four short double-helical elements and three loops (D, anti-codon, and T loops). The record is from RNAcentral. Lineage: Eukaryota; Fungi; Basidiomycota; Tremellomycetes; Tremellales; Cryptococcaceae.
GGAGCUGUAGUUCAAUUGGUAGAAUAGUAGAUUCCAAUUUGGAUCUCUUCGGAGGUUUGUUUGGAUUAUCUAUUGGUCGCAGGUUCGAUUCCUGUCAGCUUCA